GUUGUUUCUGUUGUUGGCUAAAGCUUAACAAUGGUGCAAGAGGACCAGCCUUCUAACUACAACUCCCGGCAUCCCCGCAGGCGGGGUGACGCACUUCCGGCAGCUGUCCCGGCUUGGUUGGGGCUUUGCGCCGCUCGGAGGAACCGGGUUGGAGAGCUGUCAGCCUUCUGGGUCAUUCGGGGUCACCUUUGGCCUUGGCCCUGGGGGACGGGGCUGCGGGGUCAGCCUCAGCUGCUCGUAGGCCGCGGAGGAGACAAUGCUGGUGAGUCCAGUGUAGUGAUUCAGGAGAGACCUGAGAGAUGGUGUGAAGAUAAGAGCUUCCGCUUGGAAGAAGGCACAGCUAACCCGGCUUUCUAGUGAGCUGUGGCUUUGGUGGUCUAUCUCAAAGUGUGCUCUCCACAGUCUCCCUUUCACAAGCUAACAAAGCUCUGUGGUGACAGAAAUGAAACAGUUCCAAAGAUUCUGGACUCAUCUGUGUGGCCUUGAAACCAUCUAUCAUGAAACCAUGACAACAGAUAACUGAAGCUGGCAUGGCAAGAAGCUAAUGGUCAGGGCUGCUCUCAAGGCAUAGGUUGGAGUAAAAGCAGGAGCAGGAAUUGGCCAAGUCCUUAAUAAUAAGGUUGGCACACAACCCACUGAGGACACAGAAAGAGGAUGGAUUGGAUUGGCUCACUCAUCUCUACUUCAGCCUUCUUUCUCAACAUCAUCCACGUCUUCAGUGUAUGAGAGUAAAGUGGGUACCACUUACCUGGCCCAUCUAGCCAAGAAGCACACAUAUUAGGACUAGUGGUGAGCUUUUAUCUUUUUUUUUUCUGAGACUGUGGACAUUUUCUGAUGGACUUGAAUGGAAAUUCACAAAAAGUUGAGCAAUUAACAUCUGGGCUGCCACCAAGGAAUUUUUUUUUUUUGGGUGCAAGAUGGCAUUACAUGAUGCUCACAGAACUGUGGAGAUUCAGCUCCAGAAGAAGGAAGAGGC
RNAcentral lists this long non-coding RNA (976 nucleotides) under Cricetulus griseus (Chinese hamster). RNAcentral's name for it is "lncRNA (ENSCGRG00015043295.1)". Lineage: Eukaryota; Metazoa; Chordata; Mammalia; Rodentia; Cricetidae. The record is from RNAcentral.